This 402-nucleotide ribosomal RNA is filed under the name uncultured bacterium. RNAcentral describes it as "partial 16S ribosomal RNA". It matches the Rfam family "Bacterial small subunit ribosomal RNA", at positions 30 to 525 of the family's 1533-position model. The record is from RNAcentral.
AUUGAACGCUGGCGGCAGGCCUAACACAUGCAAGUCGAGCGAGCGGCGGACGGGGGAGUAAUGUAUGGGGACUGCCCGAUAGAGGGGGAUAAAUACUGGAAACGGUAGCUAAUACAGCAUAUUAUCGGAUAAUCCAUAUGGGAUUAGCUAGUAGGUGAGGUAAUGGCUCACCUAGGCGACGAUCCCUAGCUGGUCUGAGAGGAUGAUCAGCCACACGGGAACUGGAACACGUCCCAGCCCCCUAGGGGGGCAGCGGUGGGGAAUAUUGCACAAUGGGCGAAAGCCUGAUGCGGCCAGGCGGCGUGAAUAAAAAGGGCCCUAGGGUUGUAAAGUACUUUCGGUCGGGAGGCGUUACCGACAGAAGAAGCCCCGGCUAACUCCGUGCCAGCCGCCGCGGUAAUU